This 486-nucleotide ribosomal RNA is filed under the name uncultured bacterium. RNAcentral describes it as "partial 16S ribosomal RNA". It matches the Rfam family "Bacterial small subunit ribosomal RNA", at positions 29 to 507 of the family's 1533-position model. The record is from RNAcentral.
AUUGAACGCUGGCGGCAUGCCUUACACAUGCAAGUCGAACGGCAGCACGGGUGCUUGCACCUGGUGGCGAGUGGCGAACGGGUGAGUAAUACAUCGGAACAUGUCCUGUAGUGGGGGAUAGCCCGGCGAAAGCCGGAUUAAUACCGCAUACGAUCUACGGAUGACAGCGGGGGACCUUCGGGCCUCGCGCUAUUGGGUUGGGCGAUGGCUGAUUAGCUAGUUGGGGGGGUAAAGGCCUACCAAGGCGACGAUCAGUAGCUGGUCGGAGAGGACGACCAGCCACACUGGGACUGAGACACGGCCCAGACUCCUACGGGAGGCAGCAGUGGGGAAUUUUGGACAAUGGGCGAAAGCCUGAUCCAGCAAUGCCGCGUGUGUGAAGAAGGCCUUCGGGUUGUAAAGCACUUUUGUCCGGAAAGAAAUCCUUGGCCCUAAUACGGUCGGGGGAUGACGGUACCGGAAGAAUAAGCACCGGCUAACUACGUG